UAAACAACUUCUUCAAUUUAUUAUCUCCUUGGCCUGAGGCUUUGAUCCUGGAAGAGGGAGCACCUUUUGCCCACAAAUGCUGAUGGAUCCAGCCCUAGUUUCAGCAACAAGGGUGGCAGGAGCCUCACAUUUUAGGCUUUGAAAAUCUGUGAAAUCAGCUGCAGGUCCUGUAAAGCCUUUGUGUUGCAGAACUACUGGAAUAUACUUCAGAGCUUCGGAUUGUGGCCAAGUUAAAGACAGAAGCAAGGAAAAAAAAGCACAGUUAAAUCAGCUUCUCAUUUGGUGCCUCCCGGUUCACGUCUCAACGCUAGACAGUGUUGACUCCGCAGCUCAGAUAAAUCUGGAGUUGGAGGGGUCCUCACAGAUUAUGCAGUCCUUCUGUCUAAACUGAGGAAACAGAGACACCCCCCAAAUCCCCUGGAUGUCUGUCCCAGCUCAUCUGCAUCACAUGCAAGCUUUCCCAAAGGGUCUUUGAUGGGUAAUGCUUGAAAGGAGGCUGCUUCCCCGGUCACAGCAAAGCCUCCCCCUAAGGCCUGGUGGACGAGCCCCGCAGUGCCUCGGGUGAUCCGUGGACGAGCCCUG
This 582-nucleotide long non-coding RNA is filed under the name Sus scrofa (pig). Its description in RNAcentral is "lncRNA (ENSSSCG00070017269.1)". Lineage: Eukaryota; Metazoa; Chordata; Mammalia; Artiodactyla; Suidae. The record is from RNAcentral.